UACAGAGGGGGCAAGCGUUGUUCGGAAUUACUGGGCGUAAAGGGCGCGUAGGCGGCCUGCUAAGUCGAACGUGAAAUCCCCGGGCUCAACCCGGGAACUGCGUCCGAUACUGGCAGGCUUGAAUCCGGGAGAGGGAUGUGGAAUUCCAGGUGUAGCGGUGAAAUGCGCAGAUAUCAGGAGGAACACCGGUGGCGAAGGCGGUUCUCUGGGCAUUACCUGACGCUGAGGAGCGAAAGUGUGGGGAGCGAACAGG
Molecule: ribosomal RNA, 253 nt
Filed under: uncultured bacterium
Lineage: Bacteria
Description: partial 16S ribosomal RNA
Rfam family: Bacterial small subunit ribosomal RNA
Source: RNAcentral